RNAcentral lists this unclassified non-coding RNA (240 nucleotides) under soil metagenome. Its description in RNAcentral is "partial contains 5.8S ribosomal RNA, internal transcribed spacer 2, and large subunit ribosomal RNA". The record is from RNAcentral.
AACCUUAUGGACCUGCGGGCGUAUACCUGCGGAGGGAUCAUUACAGAGUGUUCUACCCCCCUUGUAAAAAAGGUUGGGUUUAACCUCCCGUCCUUUGCUGGACCCCCCCAAUUUUUUUGGGGUGGGGCCUUUCAAAAACUUUUUGCUUCGGUGGGGUUUUUUAUCCCACCGGAACAUCCUCAAAAAAAAUUCUUGGUCAAAAACCGUUCAGUCCGAGAAACUUUUUUGAAAAAUUAUUGA